Molecule: long non-coding RNA, 502 nt
Organism: Populus euphratica (Euphrates poplar)
Lineage: Eukaryota; Viridiplantae; Streptophyta; Magnoliopsida; Malpighiales; Salicaceae
Exons: 2
Source: RefSeq, a predicted model, not a curated record
CAAACACAAAUUUGCAACCAUAGGUUUCAACAGCAUCGAUUGAGAAGGAGAGGCAGGCCAUUUGCUACCAUCCUUGACCAUAACGAGCACAGAUCAGGGGUCGACGUCUAGAUAUUGCAGAAUGAAUUCAUCAAGGAUGGCUAUGUCAAUGUUGGCUGCUUGUGUUGCUGUUCUGGUCAUGGCUUCUGCUGCUGCCGCUGAUGAGGGCCAUGUUCAUACACCUGGCAUGGAAAUGCCCCCGGCCGCCGCGCCAAGCUCAGGCACCCUCGCGUCUCCAUCAAUGGUGAUUGGAAUCGCCCUUGCUUUCAUUGCUUCCCUUGUUGUUGUUAGAGAGCGGGUGUGAGCCUUCAUUUAUAUAUAUAUCAUCCUCCUCCUAUGCAUGUGCAUGCCUUUGGUCAUUAGACCUUGGCUACAGUUUCGGUGUUUGUCGUAACUCGUGAUGUUAAUUUAUGUUGUCUGUUUAUUUUUAUUGAUUGCAAGGUCGAAUUUUAUGUUGCCACAA